AUACUUCCCUGGCAGUAUAUGAUCACGAAGGUGGUUUUCCCAGGGCGAGGCUUAUCCAUUGCACUCGGGAUGUGCUGACCCCUGAGAUUUCCCCAAAUGUGGGAAACUCGACUGCAUAAUUUGUGGUAGUGGGGGACUGCGUUCACACUCUCCCCUG
Molecule: small nuclear RNA, 157 nt
Filed under: Echinops telfairi (small Madagascar hedgehog)
Lineage: Eukaryota; Metazoa; Chordata; Mammalia; Afrosoricida; Tenrecidae
Description: U1 spliceosomal RNA (ENSETEG00000022195.1)
Rfam family: U1 spliceosomal RNA
About the family: U1 is a small nuclear RNA (snRNA) component of the spliceosome (involved in pre-mRNA splicing).
Source: RNAcentral